Molecule: non-coding RNA, 3112 nt
Organism: Cricetulus griseus (Chinese hamster)
Lineage: Eukaryota; Metazoa; Chordata; Mammalia; Rodentia; Cricetidae
Source: RefSeq, a predicted model, not a curated record
GGGAUUGACAUGUAAAACAAUCCUGUUUCUAAUUCAAAUAAAAAAGUUGGAAACAAAAAGAAUUUACAAGAGUAGAUAGAAGAUCUAGAGACUGUGUUCUGGAGUGCUGGCUCCAGGGUUGUCUUGUGCUUGAUUUAACUAUGGACAGAAAGGCAUUACAAUUUCAGGUUUGUGAGGACCACUGCACUAGAAAGUUCUGUCGGUGGCCCAGCAAAGGAUACUGCUUCCAUCUGCAAUAGAGAGAAUAUAUUAGACAUCUCCAUCAAGGUGUGUAGACUCGGUACAGUCUUUGUAGCAGCACACAGGCUGCUUGAAUUUAUGAGGGAAUCAAUUCAUAACAUCAGGAUUCUAGUUACAUACUAGGAGUUUUCUAUUGAGGUCAUUGUAACACCAAAUGGUAACUACAGUAUAGGUGUCUCAAGGGUCUAUAGGUCUAGGAUGGUGUCUUAGUUGAAAUUUUCCUAAAGUGGCUUCUGGAUCAGAAAAAGAACAAAUUGUUGAGCUUGGACAUGCCACAGAAGUCAGCUACAAUUCUAAUGAGCUAAUGUAAGAGAGGCUCAAGUUGGACAAAGAAAAGACUCAAACUCUAUGUCCUUAAAUACCAUUCUAUUAAGAUCCAGGUCAUGAAGCAAAACCUGAGAACUCAUUACCACACUUUGAAAAAAAUUAUUUUUCCUUCUUUUUCUGUACAUUCUGUGUUGAUACACUUUGAGUUCAGAGUAUACAUGUGAUCAUCAGUAAAUAUUUCUACAAGGUGGUUCAUAGUUGCCAAGAAAAACUCAGCUAAUGGAGGCAAUUCUAACUGAAUCAAGAAAGAAGGAUUUGUGUUGUCUUUCCCAGGUUCCUUGCAGCUAAAUAAAAGCCAGAUAAUUCUAAUUAUCCAAUGGGGUUUCCUUUCCAUCACCAGAAUCAUAAAAACACAAAGCCCAGAGGAUUGGGCCUUGUGUUUUUCACUUCAUUUUUCUGGGGUCACUUCUGGGAAUGUGGUUGUUCUGAGGGUACAAUUCGUCUUUGGGCCCAGAUGCUGGUGAAAGGGAACACUUCACUGCAUCUAUUUGAGAUCCUGGGUUGUUACUGUGGAUUAAAGAGAGAUUACAAAACAGAUCAGGAUGAAUAGCCCAGGCAGGGGAGCUGUACAGAACAGUCAUCUGUUGGUUUAUUUCAAAGAAGGUUCCUUGGAGACAUUGCAUCAUACAGAAUAGUUUUGCUAAAACUAUGCCAUUUUUUACCUUCCCAUCAAUGUUUUGCAUUUAUCUCAUCUACUCAUUUCCAAUUAUGUUGAUUGUCUGCUGCUGCUGUGUUUCAGAAAAACUAGGAACUGCUUUACAUAUCUCUCCCCCUUCUUAUUUACGAUAUUAAGAGCCAAAACUUACAAGGACUGCCAAUGUACCAGGGAGAAGCCAAAUGAAGUAUAUUUUAUGCUAGGUAGAACACAAAAAGGUCUUGACUUUUAUUUAAGAAUAAAAUAUUAUUUUUCUUUGAAAACUGAGGAGUUACAAUGACAUCAGCAGAGGUUGACACGCCUUAGUACAACACGUUGGUAAUUCUUUUCAUACUUCUCCACACUCUUCUCAUUCAGAAACAGAAGCAAGUCAUGGUACCAAAGGUUCCUGUAACAGCUUUAACCCUUUCACAGGUCACAGAGAGCUCCUGUGAGCUUGUUAUUUGAGUUAAAGCUGACCAUUGAUGUUUUUCUUGGGUAGCCAUAACUAUGCCUGCAAUGGAGGUGGAGGUUGUACAAAGAUAUCUUGUAGAUGGCUUCUGUAGCUCUGUUAGAACUCUGAGACAAAAGACAGAAAUUUCUUCUCUUUUUUAUGUGCCUGGUGGGAGAGGCAAUUUAUUUCAUUUUUGUCCGACAAACCAUCGUUUCUGUGAAAUAGGAAUCCCCUACUUCCCUUUUCUGGAAUAUUGAAAUAGACACCGAGUCACUGGACCUCAUUUGGGAUAGUGUAGGGGUUAGCUCAUAGAAGCCUAAUCCAAAGCACAGGGCUCAGGUUUAGGAUUUGCCAUUUAUUAGCAGAGAGACUGGACACAUUUAACUAGGUUCCAGAGUUUCCACACCUCUUUUAUGCGAUACAUCUAGAACACAGUGAGAACUACAGGCCUUAGUCAUGAUGCUGUUGUUAUUCCCGUUUGGUCAUCCUUCUAUUUCAGAAUUCAAUAUUCACGAAGUGUCAACCAUGUAUAAAGCACUUUGUUAUGACUUGACCUCUAGUGGGGAAAAAUCAAUGAGAUUUUUAUUUUCUAGAGACUUCUUAAGGGAGAAUAUAUUAAAACAGCAUAUUUUCAAUGAUUUCAGAUUUGAUAAGUGUCAAAGCAAGUGGUAAGUGUCAAAAGAAAGAAGAUAAAGUGGGGUAACCUUAGAGACAAGGUGAUGGAGACUUCAGCUCAAGGUCCUCUCUGAAGAUGAAAAGCAGGUUUACCAGUGAAAGUACAAAGCAUGAACUUAAGGUCCUCCUGUGGCUGGGCUGGUUCUAAGGCCUGAGCUCUGUUUCCAUGCUGAAUCAAUGCUGCCCUCAAUGUGGCUGGAUACUAAUUGCCCGAAAGUGACUGGAGACCAAAGUGCCCCAGACUGAAUAACUGUUCCUAUCUUAUAUACCUCAAGUGCUGGGAUUAAAGUGGGCAGUGGCUAAUACAGAGAUUCACAACUGAUGAAAAUGCAGAGAAAAUGUGACAAUGGAGUCAUCAUUCCUAAAGAGGACAUCUAAUUCACCCCCUUUCUAAGACUCAAGGGAAUAGCACCAAAGAAGAAGCAGAAAAAGGACAAGAGUCAGGGAUUGAGGGGGGUACUCUGAAACAGGGUCUUCUGGAAAUUGCUGAUCUACUCAUGAACCCAGAGAAUUUAUUGUUACUAACACAAUACUUGCCUAAGACUGGUCUCAACAUUUCAUCACAGAAGGGUUAAGGCUUCAUGGCAUUCUACCCAUAUUUGAGACAUUAUUGACAGUUAAAAAGGGUUGGUGGGAGGGGGUUACUGUCUUGACUGUAUAGCAACUGAUAAAUUCACCAUGUCCCAGUGAAGAAACCCCUACCCUAGCUCAUGUAGGAAACCCCAAUUAAAACCAGUGGGUUUAACACACAAACACACACACACACACACACACACACACAC